CAACUUAAAAUUACAUUUCACUCUCAGUCAUCGCGUCGAUUGGAGCCUUUAAUCUUUAUUCCACUUCUCAUAGCAAAAGUGUUUUAUUUCGGAAAAUGAAUUCUAAAUUUUUUGGUUUUGUCUUUUUCAUUUUCUUCUUUGUUUCCGCUACACUGAAUUACGUUUCCGCGAUUGGUGGUCAAGGUGAAAGUUGCUUCAGACGGGGUACUCCUGUUGGCCAUACUACAUGCGAUAAUUGGUGUGCUGAUCGAGCAUCAAUUGGGUCCUGUAACGGUGGGUUGGCGUGUUGUGUUACUCCUGACUAAAUAAAUUUAGUGAUCUGGUUCUAAUAAAAGAACAACUUUUCACCAAUGUGACU
Bradysia coprophila is the source of this 358-nucleotide long non-coding RNA. RefSeq lists it as uncharacterized. The record is from RefSeq and is a predicted model, not a curated record. Lineage: Eukaryota; Metazoa; Arthropoda; Insecta; Diptera; Sciaridae.